This 492-nucleotide ribosomal RNA is filed under the name uncultured bacterium. RNAcentral's name for it is "partial 16S ribosomal RNA". It matches the Rfam family "Bacterial small subunit ribosomal RNA", at positions 29 to 507 of the family's 1533-position model. The record is from RNAcentral.
AGUGAACGCUGGCGGUAGGCCUAACACAUGCAAGUCGAACGGCAGCACAGUAAGAGCUUGCUCUUACGGGUGGCGAGUGGCGGACGGGUGAGGAAUACAUCGGAAUCUACUUUUUCGUGGGGGAUAACGUAGGGAAACUUACGCUAAUACCGCAUACGACCUACGGGUGAAAGCAGGGGAUCUUCGGACCUUGCGCGAUUGAAUGAGCCGAUGUCGGAUUAGCUAGUUGGCGGGGUAAAGGCCCACCAAGGCGACGAUCCGUAGCUGGUCUGAGAGGAUGAUCAGCCACACUGGAACUGAGACACGGUCCAGACUCCUACGGGAGGCAACAGUGGGGAAUAUUGGACGAUGGGCGCAAGCCUGAUCCAGCCAUACCGCGUGAGUGAAGAAGGCCUUCGGGUUGGAAAGCCCUGUUGUUGGGAAAGAAGAGCAGCAGGUUGAUACCCCGCUGUACUGACGGUACCCAAAGAAUAAGCACCGGCUAACUUCGUG